GACGAACGCUGGCGGCGUGCUUAACACAUGCAAGUCGAACGGAAAGGCCCAGCUUGCUGGGUACUCGAGUGGCGAACGGGUGAGUAACACGUGGGUGAUCUGCCCUCCACACUUGGAUAAGCCUGGGAAACUGGGUCUAAUACCGGAUAUGACCGACUGUCGCGUGGGGGUUGGUGGAAAGCUUUUGCGGUGUGGGAUGGGCCCGCGGCUUAUCAGCUUGUUGGUGGGGUAGUGGCCUACCAAGGCGACGACGGGUAGCCGACCUGAGAGGGUGAUCGGCCACACUGGGACUGAGACACGGCCCAGACUCCUACGGGAGGCAGCAGUGGGGAAUAUUGCACAAUGGGCGGAAGCCUGAUGCAGCGACGCCGCGUGAGGGAUGACGGCCUUCGGGUUGUAAACCUCUUUCGCCAGGGACGAAGCGUGAGUGACGGUACCUGGUGAAGAAGCACCGGCCAACUACGUG
This 466-nucleotide ribosomal RNA is filed under the name uncultured bacterium. Its description in RNAcentral is "partial 16S ribosomal RNA". It matches the Rfam family "Bacterial small subunit ribosomal RNA", at positions 28 to 507 of the family's 1533-position model. The record is from RNAcentral.